GUGCUCCUUUUAGCAGCACUGUACUAAGAUUGGAACAACGUAGCAAUUAGCACGGCCUCUGGCCAAGGAUGAUAUACAACUUUGCAAAGCAUUAAAUAUUAAA
This 103-nucleotide small nuclear RNA is filed under the name Sorex araneus (European shrew). Lineage: Eukaryota; Metazoa; Chordata; Mammalia; Eulipotyphla; Soricidae. The record is from RNAcentral.